Molecule: ribosomal RNA, 468 nt
Filed under: uncultured bacterium
Lineage: Bacteria
Description: partial 16S ribosomal RNA
Rfam family: Bacterial small subunit ribosomal RNA
Source: RNAcentral
GACGAACGCUGGCGGCGUGCUUAACACAUGCAAGUCGAACGGAAAGGCCCUGCUUUUGUGGGGUGCUCGAGUGGCGAACGGGUGAGUAACACGUGAGUAACCUGCCCUUGACUUUGGGAUAACUUCAGGAAACUGGGGCUAAUACCGGAUAGGAGCUCCUGCUGCAUGGUGGGGGUUGGAAAGUUUCGGCGGUUGGGGAUGGACUCGCGGCUUAUCAGCUUGUUGGUGGGGUAGUGGCUUACCAAGGCUUUGACGGGUAGCCGGCCUGAGAGGGUGACCGGCCACAUUGGGCCUGAGAUACGGCCCAGACUCCUACGGGAGGCAGCAGUGGGGAAUAUUGCACAAUGGGCGGAAGCCUGAUGCAGCAACGCCGCGUGCGGAAUGACGGCCUUCGGGUUGUAAACCGCUUUCGCCUGUGACGAAGCGUGAGUGACGGUAAUGGGUAAAGAAGCACCGGCUAACUACGUG